This is a non-coding RNA of Drosophila melanogaster (fruit fly), 1547 nucleotides long. NCBI's taxonomy places the organism in Eukaryota, Metazoa, Arthropoda, Insecta, Diptera, Drosophilidae. The record is from Ensembl.
GUUCUUGAGAAUGCUCAACUGGGUGAGGCAGUUGUCGCGGUAGUUGCGGCGUUGGGCCAACUGAUCCAGCGGCACCAUCUCGCCCAGCUGCUUGGCCACCUCGACGGCGACGGGGCCCUCCAUUUUCGGUGUCGGUCCCAUUGUCUCGCUAACCGCAUAGAUGGUGUUCGAGUAGCGUUCGAAAUAGUUGGCCAUGCCCUCGGCAUUCAGAUGGGCCGUCUCCAGGGGACCCAGGAAGGCGUAGCGCGGUCCCAGUCCAUUGCUCAUCACGCUAUCGAUGUCCUUGACAUUCAGGAUGCCGGCCUCGACCAAACGCCAUGUCUCGUUCAGGAUGGCAUACUGGAUGCGGUUGAGGGCGAAGCCCUCGAUCUCCCGCGACAGCGUAACUGGUUUCUGGCCAAUCUCCUCCAUCAGGGCACGGGUCUUCUUCACCCAUUCCGGUUUCGUCCACGGCGCAGGCACGAUCUCGACCAGAGGCACGUAGUACGGUGGGUUGACGGGAUGCGAGACCAAAACCUGUUCACGAAAUCAAGCGUAAUUGGGCUUAGUCAUUGCGGCGAUCACAUCGAAAUCCAAAUAAAUGCGAAUCAAAUUGGGCACAAGGACGGCGCAGCUUUAAAUUAAAGCAAUUGCAGCUAAGAAUGUUUCUUAAAACAAUAAGCUGUUUAUCCGCGCUGAAGAGGGAGGGCAGAAAAGUGCUGGUGGAGCUGGAGAGGAUGGUGUUGGGUCCGACGACGGCGUCCAACUGCUUGUAGAGCGCCUUUUUCAGAUCGAGACGCUCGGGGAUGCACUCCUGGACGAAGAUGGCGCCCUUGACCAGCUCCUUGAGGUCGUUGGUGCCGGAGAUGCAGGCGAAUUGCUGGGCGGCGGUCAGUUUGCCGCGUAGCAGGCCCUUGGCCUCCAGAUCCUGCAGCUCCUUCUGCGUGGCAGUCAGAGCGGUGGACACCUGCUCGGGCAGGAUGUCGUACAGCACCACCUGGUAGCCCACCGAGGCGAACAGCAUGGACCAGGAGCGACCAAUUAGACCGCUGGAAUGGUAACACCGCCAGUCAGCACCUGGAUAUCCUAGCGAAUAACAGCUUCCUGCUCCAACUCACCUGCCCACAAUGCCAACUUUCUCGUUCUUUGCCGACAUCUUUGUUUAUUUACUUUUGCCGAUUUACUUCGGUGGAGUUGGAUUUAAGAAGGAGCUAUGGAGGAGCUAUUGCUGUCGACCGCCACUUGGCACAGCGUACAUGCGUUUGAGCAAUUAGACGGCAGCGCAACCGGUUUAAUAUUCGGCGAUAACCACGCCAGAGGUGAACCCAAAAACGAGAACGAGACCCGAGCCCAAGUGUUUGUGGGGUGUUUGCGGACGCGCUUGAUGGGUGUCGCUGGAGAUUUCGGAGGAGAUAGUGGGCCGUGCGAUAACAAUGCCGCCCCGUUGGGCAAUUGGACGAUGCUGCCACGCCCACAGCGCUGUAUACACAUCAUUGAGCUGCCGCGUACCUUGCAUUUAGUGCAUUUAGGCUUUGAAUGCAGGCCCUAAAGUUGUUGAAAUUAUGUAU